Talpa occidentalis (Iberian mole) is the source of this 105-nucleotide long non-coding RNA. RefSeq lists it as uncharacterized. The record is from RefSeq and is a predicted model, not a curated record. NCBI's taxonomy places the organism in Eukaryota, Metazoa, Chordata, Mammalia, Eulipotyphla, Talpidae. The transcript is spliced from 3 exons.
GUCGAUAGAUAACAUCACUGACAACCAAUUAUAAGAGGAAAUGGCUUUCUUCAUUCAACAAACAAGUUCUCUCAUUCUGAUCUGCAAAAAAUCACCCAUUGUGUA